AGUGCCUGGAGUGAAAGAGCCGUUCAAACGUUAUCUAAUCGUAAUGUCGAUAGCGCUUAGUUAUACAUAAACCUGAAAAAAAUUGUUUAAUGUAAAAUGUCUUAUUGAUGAAACCGCCAUGAAUAUAUAGGUUAGUUGUGCCCAAAAAUGUGUUUUAUAGCUUACUAAGUGUGUCAGUUUGCGAUUUAAGCCUAAACAAAUCCCUUUCUGUCACGAAAUAACGCUUAAUCUUUGGUGACGUCAUAUAUAUGACGUUACACGGACAAUAUGGAGAGAAUUUCAGAAUCUGGGAAGUGUUUGGUUAUAGCUUUGAUGAUUAUUUUAAAAACAAGUUUUGUAAUCGAAACAGCUGUUACUCCACGAAUCCAGCCGUUCAACUUCCCUAAGACAGUGACAUUUGAUACACAGGUUAGUGUGACUUGUGCUGUUUCAGAGGGGUCCUUACCCGUCAUAUUCUCGUGGAAGAGAAACGGACAAACACUUAUAGCUUAUGAUGAAAAGAUACAUUUUCGCACCCACGAGGAUCUAAGCACUUUGAAAAUCCAAGAUUUAGAUGUAAGUGACAUUGGAAACUACACGUGCAUAGCGAAAAACUCCGGAGGAGUAGACAGUUACACUUCUCAGCUGUUAGUGAAAGCUCCUCCAUAUUGGAAAAGUCAGCCAGUCAAUGUCAACGCCAUUUUAGGAAAACAAGCAUUCUUGCAUUGUGACGUUGGUGGUUAUCCUCGUCCUCAUAUAGCAUGGAAGAAAUUUAAUGACUUCCGCACCGAAGACGUUGUCCUUCAAAGCGAUUACAGAACGAAGAUUUUGGACAAUGGUUCUUUAGCGAUUAAUUCGGUGGAAAAGGCAGACGAAGGGCUUUACACCUGUGACGCUGAGAACGGUAUCGGUGAAGGGAUUACAGCCUCUAUUCGACUUGAAUUACAUGUCCCUCCUAAUAUAAUAGUAUUAGAAGCAUCGAAAUCUAUCAGGAAAGGUGAAAGCGCUCUGUUACAAUGUGCUGUGAGCGGGGAGCGCCCUCUGACGAUAUCCUGGAUAAAAAACGGAAAUAGCAUUGAUAAAAGUUUUCCCAGGUACGAUAAGUUUGAGGAAGAAGUAGCUGAUGGCCUACAAGCAAAUCUCGUUAUCAAUGACAGUGAACGAGAAGAUGAAGGGCGCUUCGUGUGUAAGGUUGAAAAUAAUUAUGGUGAAGCACAGGGCACAAUUCAGCUUCAAAUAAACGAACCUCCAUCAAGUCCAUUGGAUGUCAGAUUUGUGAAUAUAGGCAGCAGAUCAGCCAGAGUUGUGUGGAGAGCGCCACCUAGUGUCAAUCCACCAAUAGUAUUAUAUAUUAUUAGAUAUUGGAAAAAAUCAGGCGCACUUCAAGAAAUCUCCGUGUCCAACACCGAAACAACAACUCUGCUCAACGAUCUUCAUGCAGGCUUUGAAUAUAUUGUUCAGAUUUUAGCAAAGAAUGAUGUCGGCGUUGGUCAACCCUCUGAAAUGGCUACCUUCACUACGAAAGAGGAAGAACCAGACAUGUCACCAACUGAUCUCUUGGUAGAACCUGUCGAUUCUCAUAGUUUACAGAUAUCUUGGAAGCCACCACCACCAGAGAAUCACAAUGGGCUGUUGAAAGGAUACCAUAUAGGGUACAAAAAGAAAGGCACCACAUCAUCGUUUAUGUAUGAAACUAUCCCCACAACAAACAAUAAACUACAACACAUGGUGCUUAAAAAUCUUCAGCCUUCUACGAGCUAUACAGUAAUAGUGAAAGCCUUCAACAGUGCUGGGACUGGCCCACCUUCAGAUGAGUUUGUGUGUCUAACUUUACUAGGAGAUCCUCCACCUCCACCAGAACUUAAACUCCAGGAUGUACAAUGGAAUUCUGCUACUGUCACCUGGUCACAUCCAAGAGAUAUGAAAGGACCUGUAUUUCAGUACCUGUUGGAAUAUGGAAUUUCUGCUAACAGACAACAAAAACUUCACAUUCCGGGAUCAGUUCAAGAAUAUACCAUCCAAGAUCUUAACAGUGGUCAACAUUACACCAUUCAUAUAGCUGCUUACAACAAGUUUGGAUGUGGUAAAUUCUCUUCUCCCUUACUGGUAGUCAUUGAAAGGAAAAAAGGAUCUGAUCUCAGAACAUCAGCAACCCCUGAUGCAAUGUCUUUUUACUUUGAGCUGUAUUUUGUUAUACCAGUAGCAGCCUCAGUUACGGUCGUCAUCUGUGUUGUAGUGAUUGCUUGGGCUUGCCUUAAAAGAACACGGUUUGUUCAAGUGAAAAAAUCCUCGCUGUAUGUUGCUUACAAACAACGUGCAUCAUGUGCUUCAGUAUCGGGAGUUUCAGCAUCACGUAACAGCAGAGUAUAUGAUGUAGCAUGGGAAAUACCCAGUGGAACAGUGCCUCAGAAUGGGCCUCACUACACAAAGCUGAAACCUCCUUACGUCCUUUCAUAACUGAGAACAGUGAUGGAUCAGGAUUUAGUUCAGGAAACAAUAAGAAAACAGUUUUAUAGUUAUUUACAAAAACAAUCUUAAUGUAAAAGUGUUUUUAUAUAACAAGUGCAGCUCUGAAGAGGAUUCUGCUCAGUAAUGUGUGGUAUAAUAGAAAGUAGUUUUCUCGUCAGCCUCAUGACUCUUAAGAAAUGUUUUUAAUGUACACACAUUGGUCUAAAAGAUGAAAAAAGUUUUUGUGUACUUAUUUAUAAAAAACUCCUGUAUUAAGACAACUUACUAACAAAUUCAUCACUAGAGUAGCUUUUGUUACUAGCUUGUCAAAUUCGAAAGUUCGUGCUUUGAUUGCUAAGUAACAAAACAAGUUGCAGGUUAUAGUCCUUUUGGUUUCAGGUGAUGAUGUUGGAUUCCGUUCUCAACAGGUUGGAUGAGACAUCCAUAGUAUAAAUCUCCUUUUCCAAGCAGUGAUUUGGAUUAAGUUUGUAGAUGAGUAGUAUGAUAGAUCCAUUGUAGGAGACUCCUGUCCAGGUGUUGAUGACGUUGUCAGGUCACAGAUGGGUUGGUUGAGAAAUCUAUAGCAUAAAAAAGUACAUAAAAGUGGUGAUGAUGUUUUAAGGUCACAGGAAAAUUAGGUGAGAGAUCCAUAGUACAAAAAUACCCUUUCAUAGUGAUGAUGAUGUUUUCAGGUCACAGAUGGAUUAGGUGAGAGAUCCAUAGUACAAAAAACUGUCAAAAUGCUGAUGUUUUUUUAGGUCACAGAUGGUUUUGGGUGAGAGAUCCAUAAUUUAGAAACCCCUGUCAAUUUGAUGAUGAUGUUCUCAAGUUACAGAUGGUUUGAGCAAGAGAUCCAUAGUAUAAAAACCCCUGUCCAAAUGGUGAUGAUGUUCUCAAGUUACAGAUGGUUUGGGGCGAGAGAUCCAUAGUAUAAAAACCCCUGUCAGUGUGAUGAUGAUGUUCUCAAGUUACAGAUGGUUUGGGUGAGAGAUCCAUAGUAUAAAACCCUGUCAAAGUGAUGAUAAUUUUCUCAGAUUACAGAUGGUUUUGGUGAGAGUUCAAUAAUAUAAAAAAAACCUAUCAAAGUGAUGAUGAUGUUUUCAGGUCACAGAUUGAUUAAGUGAGCG
RNAcentral lists this unclassified non-coding RNA (3554 nucleotides) under Limulus polyphemus (Atlantic horseshoe crab). RNAcentral's name for it is "down syndrome cell adhesion molecule-like protein 1, transcript variant X1". Lineage: Eukaryota; Metazoa; Arthropoda; Merostomata; Xiphosura; Limulidae. The record is from RNAcentral.